RNAcentral lists this ribosomal RNA (253 nucleotides) under uncultured bacterium. RNAcentral describes it as "partial 16S ribosomal RNA". It matches the Rfam family "Bacterial small subunit ribosomal RNA", at positions 524 to 776 of the family's 1533-position model. The record is from RNAcentral.
UACGUAGGGUGCGAGCGUUGUCCGGAAUUAUUGGGCGUAAAGAGCUCGUAGGCGGUGUGUCACGUCGGCCGUGAAAACCUGCAGCUUAACUGUGGGCGUGCGGUCGAUACGGGCAGGCUAGAGUUCGGUAGGGGAGAUCGGAAUUCCUGGUGUAGCGGUGAAAUGCGCAGAUAUCAGGAGGAACACCGGUGGCGAAGGCGGAUCUCUGGGCCGAUACUGACGCUGAGGAGCGAAAGCGUGGGGAGCGAACAGG